RNAcentral lists this long non-coding RNA (8355 nucleotides) under Lynx pardinus (Iberian lynx). Lineage: Eukaryota; Metazoa; Chordata; Mammalia; Carnivora; Felidae. The record is from RNAcentral.
UGUGAGGAUGGCUUUGUGCGGCUGCUCAGGUUGGCCUGGCCAAAUCCCCCUGCCAGGAGAGGCCAGUCUGGCUGCCGAGCCUCCUGAACUUAAGUUACCUGAGGAAGCAGCCUUGAAACCAUCUGUUUCUCGUUGCUUUGCUUGCCAUGGGCCUGCUUGACCCAGAGGCCCCUGCUCUGUCUCCUGCAUCAGCAGAGAUGAGGGACAGGAAGACAUCUCUGUGGGAAGAGUCAGGAGGACCAUCCUUUGUGAGAACAUUGAUCCCUGGGCAUCUCUCCAGACCUGCAGAAUCUGUGUCUCUGAGGAGAGACUCUGGAACCUGAAUGUUUAUAGAGCUCCCCUGGCGAUCUGAUGGGGGUCAGGGAUCAGGAGCCCUGGCAUAGAGGACGCAUGCUCUGCACGAUCUCUGGAGAGACACCAUACUUGAAGAGGGUCAAAAACGUGCCACACAGGACAGGGGGUGGGUGGGGUUAGGACGUAUUGGUUGUCUGAGCACAAGAGAAGCCUGGAUCUUUGAGGAGUCUCAAGGGGGAGCAUUUGCAGAGUUUGAGCCUAAAGCAAGGAUAAAGCCCCCAAGAUGGAGAGAGCUGUAUGUGCUCAGACAAACCAGAGGCCUGAGGUCUAGGCGUCAGCACCAGACAGGCCUUUCAGAGGUAUCUAGAGCCCUGAAAUGUGAGGCAGGGAGAUUCUACCUCUCACGGAAGGAGAGAUUUGGGUACAUCACUAGGCACCCAGUUCCUUCUCUGAGGAGUGAAAUCCUUGCCACCAGCCUUAGCUGUAUACUGGGAAGUAGACACCUAAAAUUUCCCGUGCCCUCUGGUUGAGAGGCAGGAUUUGGGAGUUUGGAGCUGGGGCCAGGGUGAGCCUGAAGUGGGAAAUGGGGCCUCCUCUGACCCGCAGGGGGUGAGCCCCGGAGCUGCUCUAUACCUUGUGACCUGCUCCUUCUCCCUGUAAACUCUUAACCCCGAUUUGGAGGUGAUUCCCAAGGGUAGGGCUCACCUGCCCAGAAAUACAUUAAAUAAAGAAAUGUGCUCGGCCCAGAUUUUAUCUCAUCAGGAUUCCAGAGCACAAGACAAAUGGCCUCAUGUCCAGCAGGGAGGUAUAAUUCAUUCUCCGGGGUGAGCCCCAAGCCUGGGAGUGGCGGGGGGGGGGGGGGGGNNNNNNNNNGAUUUUAUCUCAUCAGGAUUCCAGAGCACAAGACAAAUGGCCUCAUGUCCAGCAGGGAGGUAUAAUUCAUUCUCCGGGGUGAGCCCCAAGCCUGGGAGUGGCGGGGGGGGAGGAGCGACGGAUGUUUUGGCACAUCUGGAACGUGCAGACUUGGGGGCCAGCAGGCCCUGGAGUUCUGUGUGUAGGGCUCGGCUGUGAGACCUUCAGAAUAACUCUGCCUUCCCAGGGCUUGCACAGGGAUGGAAACAAAACCUAACAUCCUUUAAUUCAGGGAGUCUGUUUCUGAGACUUAUUCUAGGGGAACACACAAAGAUGUAUAAAGAUUUAGCUACAGGGCUGUACUUUGCCGUGUUAUCUAUGAGCCUAAAAAACCGGAAGCAACCUAAAUGUUCAACAAGAGGGGAUUGGUUAAAUAAAUUCUGAACCAGAAAAUAACAUACAAUGCAGUCUUUCAAAGAUGAGUUUGUAGAACACUUAAUGACAUAGAAAGAAGUUUAUAGCAUAGAAGGCAGAAAAAUAAAAAGCUAAUAAAGACAUAAAAUAACCCAACUUUGAAAAUACGUUGAUUCAGUAAAAAUGUUGGAAGAUUAUACACCAAAACACUGACUGGUUGUGAGAUAAAAGGCAAUUUUAGAGUUUUUAUUUUUCCUUUGCUUUUCUUUUGGUCUUGCUUAUCUGAAUUUUUAACUUUUCCAGAAUAGUCAUGCACUUAUGUGUACACAAAUGAUAAAAAUGUUGAAAGUUGGUAUUGUUGUUAUUAUUUUAUAAACCAGAGCCCCCAAGAUAUAGUUCAAAAAGGAGGAUUUCCAGGCGGGAGGGACAGCUGGAUCAAAUAGGCUUGUCACCUGCUCACCCCCCUUCUUUGGGCCGAUGUCUUCAUUCUCACCGCCUCCCCAUGGCUGGUCCCCUGGGAUGCCACUGUGCUUUCAUUUCUUUGGACCAAGCACAGCUAGAAACCCAGGCUUUGGCUUCUUUUAGCAAAGCACAGCUCAUGUACCAGACGGCAUUACUAAACCCUGAGGGAAGACAACAAGAAUAGAGGCACAGUACCUGGAAGAUCUAUACAACCACCAGGCUUCCUCAGGCAAGGGUGUCCUGUCCCACCUCGGCCAGGACGCCUGCAAAGGCUCCCAGGUCUUGCCCAUCCUCUGGGGAAGUCUCAGAGGGGAUGGAGGCUCCAUACCCAGAGUCCUCUAUCCCAUCUUACUCUUAGCACAUUCUUCCCAGGUCCGCUUUCUACUUUGAAAGACACACUUUCCCUCAGGCACCUGAUCUUGAGAAUGACCUCCCUCUCCGGUAGGACCCACCAUGACACAGAGGGAGAGAACACUAUUCUUGCGGCCAGACUCCUGAUAAAAAUACCCCACAGCACUCGUCUCAGAGGACUUACACCUUACACAUACAAGAGGUCCCCCAGGACCUAACAAGCUUCCAGACUUGAAGAGUAAACACAUUUACUUGGCAUCCUCAAGCUUUUCUUUUCUUUUUAAUGUUUAUCUACUUUGAGAGAAAGAGAGAGAAAACACCCUCAGAUGCACACACAAGUGGAGGAGGGACAGAGAAAGAGGGAGAGAGAAUCCCAAGCAGGCUCCGCAGUGUCAGUGCAGAGCCCUACGUGGGGCUUGGUCCCACGAACUGUGCGAUCAUGACCUGAGCCAAAAUCAAGAGUCGGACACUUAACUGACUGAGUCACCCAGUUGCCCCUCCCCAAGCUUUUCUUAACAUUACUCCACAUACUUCUGCCCCAAAUUAAGGCCUGAUGGGAAAUCAGUGAAUAAUUUUAUCCCUCUAAAAACCAAUAACAUUUGAAAUUGUAAUAUGAAUACAGGUUCAUCAUAAAAACUAUUUAAAAAUCUAAAAAAAAGAAGAAAACAUCUCAUAAUCAUCACACUAAAUGGAAGUAAACAUUACUGAUACCCAUUUCAAUAAAAUUGGGGAAAUAUACACAUACACACAUAAAAUUUUGAUUUUAUACAUGAAUUUAAAGUCAUUUACACACACAUAAACAUAAAAGCCUGAUUUUUUUCCAUAUAAAUUGCAUUAACAGAAUUUUCCUGGAUCAUUAAAAUAGUCUUUGAAAAUGUAAUUGCAUGGUAUCCCACUGCACGACACAAUGAUUAUUAAACAAAUGUCCAAUCGUUAUUUAAGCUAUUUCCAAACUGUUUGCUAUUAUACAGAAUAAUUUAAUAAACAUUGCACAUACAUCUUUGCAUAUAUCUCUGGUAAUUUCUUUAGGAUAAACUUCUAGAAAUAGAAUUACCAAGUCUACAAAGUUCUUGGUGUCUCCAACCAAUGCAUGCUUGUUAAAUUGUAUUGAUUUGAACCAAAGAAGUAAAAACCUCCAGAGCGGUGCUUUACCAUGUUCACUGCAUGCUCUGAGACCCAGAGAAGGUUCCAGGGGUCCAGGUGCUCUCCCUCUACCCACCCUGUGGAACUGCCCCUUGGAGCCCAGGCAGAGGCUGAAGUCAGCAGUCCUCGGUGCUCCCUGGCUGGGUCCAGCCCCUGCUGCUGCCACAUGGUUGCUUCCCUCAGCUUCUCAGAAAAGCCCCGAGUCCUGGAAGAGCAGUGGUAAGCCAAGCAGGGGGAGCUCAGGGAGGGGCCGCUGCUAUCCUGGGCGUGGUGGUCAGCACAAAACUUGUGCCGGCCCUACUGGGGGUUCCCCGUGUUUGGUGUGAGAGCAUCAAGCCCACUCAGAAGCCCUUCUGUGAGGAUUUCCUUCCAGCCCAUUGUGGUGGUCGGUCCCCUGGGGAGUAUACGGUAAGCGUCACCCACCCCCUCUUCAGAUGGGGCAUCCAGGGCACAGAGGCCAGCAGGAUGUGAGAGAUAGGACAGGACCAGGGAUUCGGAGACACAGCUCUAGGUCUCUCUCCACCAGCCAGUGUUGCCAAACCACAGCAGGGUGCGUCCCGUGGGAAAGUGACCCAGCACAACCAGAGGCAGAGGCCCUGUGAGGAGGCUGGGCUCGUGCCACAGUCAUUUUCAACAAAUACUUAUUGAGCAUCUACCAUGUACCAAUCAUUGAGAAACUAGCGAUAACCCAAGAGGCAAAGCCCCUGCCCAGAAGAAACAGCAUGCCGGUGGGGGAAACAGAUAAUAAGCCCCCCAAAAUCAUGGCUGAUGCGGUCAAGAGCUGAGAAGAAACCAAAGCAAGGUGAGGUGGACAGACAGUGACACAGAGGGGUGGGUAACUUUUAGAUGGGCCGAUCCACAAAGGUCUCUCUGGGUUGAUAUUUGAGCAAAAGCUCGAAUGCAUACAGGGAACAGGCCCUGUGGGUUUCUGGAGGAAGCCCUUCAAGGCAGAGGGAGCAGAUCCUGAGGCAGGAGCGAGAUUGGUAUGUUUGAGAAGACAUCAGGAGCCAGUAUGGCUGGAACAGGGUGAACAGGGGACAGCGUAGGGAAUGAGGUCACAGAGCUAGUAGCAUCCCCAUUAUAUAAGGGAGCUCCCACUGGGCCACCGGCAUCAUGUGGCACACUUGUCAUCUCUUGUCAUGAACCUUGAAGGUUAGGGGACCCUCCGGUGGCAGAAGACAAGAGAAUAAUAGCAGAGGUUCUACUACCUGAUCAGGUGUUCAUAUCAAGGUCGCGAGGAAGGAGGGCAUGUUCUAGAGCUCCAUUCCACUGUGCUGGGUGCCGAGUGCCCAAGGCUGACCAGGCCACAAGGCUGCUUCUAAGAGGCUCACAACCCCGUGGGGCCAACAGAUGGGCAGAGCCAAUGAGCUGGCAAGGAAAUCUUGUCGUUUGUGACAAGGCUCGACAUGGAGGACAGUGUGCCGAGUCAAAGCAGAGGAAGACAAGCAUUGCAUGACCUCACUUAAAUGCGGAAUCUAAACAAGUCCAACUCAUAGAAGCAGAGAGUGGAACGGAGGUAGCCAAGGGCUGCGGUACGGGGGAAAUGGGGAGAUGUUGGUCAAUGGGUACAGACUUUUAGCUAUAAGAUGAGAAGGUUCUGGAGAUCUAACAUACAACAUGGUGAUUAUAGUGAAUAAGUCUAUAUUGUGUACUUGAAAUUUGCUAAGAGAGGAGAUCUCAAUUCUCAAUUGUUUUCACACGCACACGCGCACACACACACACACACACACACACAAGAAGGUGACUGUGUGAAGUGAUGGAUAUGUUAACUACCUUUGUUGUGGUCAUCAUUUCACAAUGUAUACAUGUGACAUGGCACACCCUAAAUAUAUGCAACUUUUUAAAUAAUUUUUUUUAGUUUAUUUUUUGAGAGAGAGAGAGAGAGCAGGGGAAGGGCAGAGCGAGGGAGAGAGAGAAUCCCAACCAGACUCUGCACUGUCAGCUUACAGCCCAAUGCAGGGCUGGAACUCACGAACUGUGAGAUCAUGACCUGAGCCGAAAUCAGGAGUCGGAGGCUUAACCCACUGAGCCGCCCUGGCGCCCCGUAAAUAUAUGCAACUUUUUUGUUUGUUUGUUUUGUUUUUUUUUUUUGUUUUUUUUUUCAACGUUUAUUUAUUUUUGGGACAGAGAAUGACAGAGCAUGAACAGGGGAGGGGCAGAGAGAGGGAGACACAGAAUCGGAAACAGGCUCCAGGCUCCGAGCCAUCAGCCCAGAGCCCGACGCGGGGCUCGAACUCACGGACCGCGAGAUCGUGACCUGGCUGAAGUCGGACGCUUAACCGACUGUGCCACCCAGGCGCCCCAAUAUAUGCAACUUUUAUUUGUUCAAUUAUAUCUUAGUAAAGCUGGAGAGAGAGAGAGAGAGGGGAAGGAAGGAAGGAAGGAAGGAAGGAAGGAAGGGAGGAAGGAAGGAAGGANNNNNNNNNNNNNNNNNNNNNNNNNNNNNNNNNNNNNNNNNNNNNNNNNNNNNNNNNNNNNNNNNNNNNNNNNNNNNNNNNNNNNNNNNNNNNNNNNNNNNNNNNNNNNNNNNNNNNNNNNNNNNNNNNNNNNNNNNNNNNNNNNNNNNNNNNNNNNNNNNNNNNNNNNNNNNNNNNNNNNNNNNNNNNNNNNNNNNNNNNNGGAAGGAAAGAAGGAGGAAGAAAGAAAGGGAGGAAGGAAGGAGAGGGGGAAGGGAGGGAGGAAGGAAGAAAGGAGGAAGGGAGGGAGAGAGAGAGAGAGAAAGGAAGGAAGGAAGACAAGAAAACACAUCCUUGCCUCACAGAGUUGUUGAGAAGAAUAAAUAAGAUGUCAAUAAAAGCUGGUCAUACAAUAUCUUAUGAAAAAUCAGUGCUGCACAGGAACUUGCUGUGCUUUAAGCCUAAUUUUGCUGUGAACCUAAAACUGCUCUAAAAAGUAAAGUUCAUUCAUUGAAAACAAAAUAAAACUGUAAAAACCAAGCAUAUGGCAUGGCAGGCUCGGAAGACUUCCUCGAGGAGGUGCCGUUUGAACCAGGCCUUGAAAAAUAAACAAGUGAGCCAAAUUUCGACAGGCAAGGAAAGUGAGAAAUGCACUUCAGAGAGAAAUACUGGUUUGCUGACAAGGGAGCAGGGGGACCCUCUGGCGGGAUAUUGGGGUGUAGAGCCCACGGCCUCCAUUUGGGAUUAUCACUGGGACAAAAGUAGACAGUGAGAAGAGAAGAGAGUUGAGAAGAGAAUGCUGGGGCACACAGCCACAGUGAAGGUGGGGUAGGAGGGUGCUGGGGAGGGGCUGCAGAGGAGGGUCCAAGAGGCAAGAGAAGACCAUGGGAGUGGACUGUCACAGGAUUUAAGAAAGAGCGAUGAGGAAAACAUCAAACAUAGCCAAGAGUUCGGUCAGGAGAGAGAAGUGCUGAUAAAGCCAUGGACUGGCAAGAGUUGAGUCCCUGGAGACCUGGGCGAGGGCCAGUGGGGGGUGGACAGGGCAGGGGGGAAGGGGUGUAUGACUUUUCUAUUGCUGUGUAACGAAUCACCACAAGCUGGGCAACUCAAACAAUAUGGAUUUACUCCCUCACGGUUCUGUAGGUCCGAAGUUUAAAAUCAGUCUCACUGAGCUACAGUCAAGGCUUUGCCAGGUUUGGUUCCUUCUGGAGGCUCCAGGUUUUUUGUUGUUUUUUUUUUUUUUUGCCCCAGUGGCCGUCUGUAUUCCUUGGCUUGUGGCCCUUCCCUCCAUCUUCAAAGAGCGUCAUGCAAUCCCUCUGACAACACCUCACCUUCUCCUCUUUGACCUCUGCUUCCUCUUAGAGGACCCCUGAUUGCAGAAGAUAGACCUGGACAACCCAACAUAACCUCUCUUUCUUAAGAUCCUUAACUUAAUCACAUGGGCGAAGUUCCAUACAAGGUGACACUGACGGGUUCCGGGGAGUAGGACAUGAACAUCUUGUGGGUGGGGGGAGAUGGCUUAUUCAGCCUUCCACUGUUUGGGUGGACAGGGGCCGAUGGAGAAAGGAAAGAGGGGAGGAAAAAGAGAGGGUGACAGGAGACAACUCACUCAAGAAACCUGAACUAGAAGGAAGGAGAGGACAGAUGCAUCUUGAGGAAGACCCACCCUGGCCGGAGACAAGUUGCUUUUAGGAUUUUAUUUUCGUCCCAUCCUGUUGUGUCUCCUUCCCUCCGUUCUCCCCCAAGCCCAACGGGGAGAUGAGAAACAAUCCACGUUGUUGUCAAUUUCAUAAAGCAUCGCUUCUUUCACCCCUGACACCCACCUGCCUGGGCACCUUCCAAGCUAUGUGAGUGGAAAUCCACAUUUUUAAGAGUGGUUCUCAUUGUAGGUCCUAUGGCAGGUCCUCCUUUAAUUUACAAGACAAAGAUUAUUAUAUGAUUAAUUGUUCAAGUUCAAAUAGCGAUGUCCCGUUUAGAAAGGUAAAGAUUUCAUUCCCGGCCCCCUCUUCCCCUUCUGAAAAGUUUUCUUGUUGUACAACGGAUUUUAGUUCUUCUACUGUUUUUACGUGUAACUUAAUUUUUUCCCCAGCUUUAGGGAGAGAUAAUUGACAAGGGAUCUACAUUUUUAAACCACAAGGAAAAGAAACCCAGAGCUACCAAGAAUAAUAUUUUAUUGACUUGGAACCAGUUUUGGAAUUUGUAUUUUUAACCAACUACCCAGGUGAUUUUGAUGAUCAGACAGUUUGAGGGGUUUUUUUUUCCUCUUUCUCUUCCCUUCGGUAAACUGUUUUUCAACUUUGUUUUUCAGUGAAAACCAUUUCCUCCUCACCAUGGACUCCAUCCAGAGGCUGCACCCAUCUCUCCCACGUCAACAGUCUGUGUCCUUGGCAGAGGACAGUGCUCUCAUUCUGGGCCUUUCCCUUCUUCCUCAGCCAAAGCCCUG